UUGCUAGGGAUCACUUGUGACUAAUAACACUGCCACACUCAUUGCAUUUUUAAGGUUUCUCCCCAGUACGGAUCCUAUGAUGAUAAGCAAGACGUGAACUGCAACUGAAGACCUUAUCACAUUCAUUGCAUUUGUAAGACAUCUCCCAGUAUGAAUUAUCAUCAGCUGUCUUGCUGGGUCUGAGUUGAGGAUGGAGACCUUGCCACACUCAUUGCAUUUGAAAGGUUUCUCUCCAGUG
RNAcentral lists this long non-coding RNA (238 nucleotides) under Marmota monax (woodchuck). The record is from RNAcentral. Lineage: Eukaryota; Metazoa; Chordata; Mammalia; Rodentia; Sciuridae.